This 678-nucleotide long non-coding RNA is filed under the name Delphinapterus leucas (beluga whale). RNAcentral describes it as "lncRNA (ENSDLEG00000000966.1)". Lineage: Eukaryota; Metazoa; Chordata; Mammalia; Artiodactyla; Monodontidae. The record is from RNAcentral.
CGCGCUCUGCGUCCUCGCGGCCGCCCGCCGGGGUCGGGGAUCGGUGGGAAAGCCGGUCGACCUCUGCUUGCCCUGCCUCCCGUACUGACUCUGACCUCUUCCUUGGCGGCCUGAAACAGAUGCGCCCCGGUGUGGGAUUUAGGCAGCGGUGGUGAACACCCCUCUGCCAACCCUCCCAGACUGUCCCCCGCCGUGUCCUCUCUCAGGCUGCUCUGACCCAACGCUGAGGAGCCUCUCGCUGUGCCUGCCUCUUGGGAAAGAAGACCUUGAACCUGAGCCAGACAGUAGGAAUCAAUAAUGGUGAUACUGAUGACCUCCAGUUUUGUGCAUCCAGAGAUAUUAAAAUAUGAAGUAGCAUGCAGCUUACAAUUCAUGGGAAACUAUGUUGCUUUGUAAGAGUCCCUGAGUAUUUUUGCUGCUCAUAGGUGAUAAGUGCUCAGUAAAUGGAACACAGAGGAACAAACUAUGAUGAGGGCCUAGAGGAAGGAGGGCUACAGUGGCCUGGGUGAGUCUGUCCUUAAUUACACUGUCAUUCAUUCAUUUUUUUUUUAAACAUCUUUAUUGGAGUAUAAUUGCUUUACAAUGGUGUGUUAAUUUCUGCUUUCUAACAAAGUGAAUCAGUUAUACAUAUACAUAUGUUCCCAUAUCUCUUCAUUCAUUCUUAAAUAUACAUUCCAG